Molecule: ribosomal RNA, 429 nt
Filed under: Pseudomonadota bacterium
Lineage: Bacteria; Pseudomonadati; Pseudomonadota
Description: Proteobacteria bacterium partial 16S ribosomal RNA
Rfam family: Bacterial small subunit ribosomal RNA
Source: RNAcentral
UGGGGAAUAUUGGACACUGGGCGAAAGCCUGAUCCAGCCAUGCCGCGUGUGUGAAGAAGGUCUUCGGAUUGUAAAGCACUUUCAGUUGGGAGGAAGGGCAGUAAGCGAAUACCUUGCUGUUUUGACGUUACCGACAGAAUAAGCACCGGCUAACUCUGUGCCAGCAGCCGCGGUAAUACAGAGGGUGCAAGCGUUAAUCGGAAUUACUGGGCGUAAAGCGCGCGUAGGUGGUUCGUUAAGUUGAAUGUGAAAGCCCCGGGCUCAACCUGGGAACUGCAUCCAAAACUGGCGAGCUUGAGUAGGGCAGAGGGUGGUGGAAUUUCCUGUGUAGCGGUGAAAUGCGUAGAUAUAGGAAGGAACACCAGUGGCGAAGGCGACCACCGGGGCUCAUAAUGACACUAAAGUGCGAAAACGUGGGGAGCAUGCAGG